This 75-nucleotide transfer RNA is filed under the name bacterium. RNAcentral's name for it is "tRNA-Thr". It matches the Rfam family "tRNA". Rfam says of the family: Transfer RNA (tRNA) molecules are approximately 80 nucleotides in length. The record is from RNAcentral. RNAcentral also lists the same sequence under 1 other name.
GCCGGUGUAGCUCAAUUGGUAGAGCAGCGCUUUUGUAAAGCGAAGGCUUUGUGGGUUCGAGUCCCUCCACCGGCU